RNAcentral lists this long non-coding RNA (1330 nucleotides) under Manihot esculenta (cassava). RNAcentral's name for it is "long non-coding RNA (MESC_LNC009683)". Lineage: Eukaryota; Viridiplantae; Streptophyta; Magnoliopsida; Malpighiales; Euphorbiaceae. The record is from RNAcentral.
CUCAUAUGUCUUUGCCAAAGAUCCUAUCCUCUCUCCUUUUUUCUCUCCAUCCUUCUCCUCUACCACUUUCAUCUGUAAAUGACUAAAAAUGAUAGCAGUCAUCCGUUAUCAUGUUUUAUCGAUUUAAAAAUAGAUUUCAUAUCCUUAAUCCAUAAAAUUACAAGUCCACCACCAAACCAAGAAAUCACGGCCAUGAACAUAAUCCAUCCAGAGUACAAUCAUUUAAAGAUAUGAAACAAUUCGAUGAUUCUAAAUGGAGUAAAAGACAUGGUGACUUUGAUAUUACUUCUAUCUCCCAAAUAUUUAUCCAUCCAAUAUCAAUGUUAUCACAUGUUAUGUCUAUUCCAAGAUCCAAAUCCCAACUCAUCUUUAUUAUUGAGUUUCAAGCGUUGAUUCCUACAGGAGGCAAGUGAUUAUGGAGCAAAUUUACUUAUUGUCGGAAACUUGGGUAUAUUCAGACAAUAUCAACAGUAGAAAAGAGCAUUCGGUUGAUUCAGUUCCCAACUAAAUUGAAAUUAAAAAAUUGAAAUAUUAAAAUCAUCAAAAUAAACCAAAUCGAUGUCCAAAAUAUAACAAAUCAAAUUAAAUUAAACUAAAAUUUUCAUUUUGGUUCGGUUAACUGAAAAUCGAAAUUAUUCAAUAUUUUUGCAAUUGAUUUCAAGUUUAAAUCCCAAUAACAUUUAAUAAGAAAAAUUUUGAAACUCAACAUAUCAGAAGCCGAGUAAAUCAUAAAAAUUUAAAAAUCAUGAAAAUCCAAAAUCAGAAUUGAUUGCUUGGAAGACAACAGUCAUCCAUCGACCAUGAAGCCACCAUCAGUAAGCAAAUCCAUCACAAAAAAUUUGAAACUAGACCCAUUAACACACCCAUCAAGCUUGAUAACACACCAUAUGAAUGCUCUUCAAACCACAUACAACCUGAAAACCCCUCCAGUCUCUAUUGUGUUGAACAGUAGUGAAACUGAAGACAAGACAGAUAGAUGGAGCUAUGGCUCGCCAUGAAGACAAGACAGAUUGGUGGAACCGAGGAGCCAUGGAAGCUGUGAAUUUUAAAUCUUUUAUCAAAAAUAUCGAUGAAAUUUCUUGAGCUCCAACACACCAAUGAUCUCACUACCAGGUAAAGUUGUGAAAGGAGGCGAGAAGAAGGGAAUUAUUUGGACUUGAUUGGUAUCUAUGAUUGUUGAUUUAUCCUUGGGGGCUUUUUGGAGAAUAUGCAGUUAAUCUUCUAUUUUAGUAUAAGAGAAUUCAAGUUAAGAUGGAGAUUUAUCGGGAUAACUUGAUUCUGUUAUGAUACACCAAUAUGUAUAGAAUUAACUCCCUUAUGAAACUUCUUC